RNAcentral lists this ribosomal RNA (253 nucleotides) under uncultured bacterium. RNAcentral describes it as "partial 16S ribosomal RNA". It matches the Rfam family "Bacterial small subunit ribosomal RNA", at positions 524 to 776 of the family's 1533-position model. The record is from RNAcentral.
UACAGAGGUCUCGAGCGUUAGGCGGAAUCACUGGGCUUAAAGAGUGUGUAGGUGGUUCGUUAAGUACCUUGUGAAAUCCCACGGCUUAACCGUGGAACUGCUUGGUAUACUGGCGGUCUUGAGCCAGCUAGGGGCUACCGGAACAAACGGUGGAGCGGUGAAAUGCGUAGAUAUCGUUUGGAACGCCAAUGGUGAAAACAGGUUGCUGGGAGUGUGCUGACGCUGAGACACGAAAGCCAGGGGAGCAAACGGG